UACUUUCGCGUUGCAUUUGGUUUUUAACAUACGUUUCACAAUGUUAAAAUUAAUAGGGAAUCAGGUGAAAAUCCUGAACAGACCCGCUACUGUAAGUUCUAUUACAACACUUUGACAUCUUCUUGCCACUGUUUUUAGUGAAUAAAAAUGGGAAGGCGCGUUCAAAGUGAGAACAAGUCAGGAGACCUGCCACUGCAAACAAUUUUAA
Molecule: non-coding RNA, 208 nt
Filed under: Chitinophaga niabensis
Lineage: Bacteria; Pseudomonadati; Bacteroidota; Chitinophagia; Chitinophagales; Chitinophagaceae
Source: RNAcentral